UAGGGAAUCUUCCACAAUGGACGAAAGUCUGAUGGAGCAACGCCGCGUGAGUGAAGAAGGGUUUCGGCUCGUAAAACUCUGUUGUUAAAGAAGAACAUAUCUGAGAGUAACUGUUCAGGUAUGACGGUAUUUAACCAGAAAGCCACGGCUAACUACGUGUCAG
RNAcentral lists this ribosomal RNA (163 nucleotides) under uncultured bacterium. RNAcentral describes it as "partial 16S rRNA". It matches the Rfam family "Bacterial small subunit ribosomal RNA", at positions 355 to 511 of the family's 1533-position model. The record is from RNAcentral.